RNAcentral lists this ribosomal RNA (125 nucleotides) under Otolemur garnettii (small-eared galago). The record is from RNAcentral. Lineage: Eukaryota; Metazoa; Chordata; Mammalia; Primates; Galagidae.
AUCUAUGGCCAUACCUCCCUGAAUGCGCCCCCUCUCAUCUGAUUUUGGAAGCCAAGAAGGGUCAGGCCUGGUUAGUACUUGAAAAAAGAGACAGUUCUUGAGCAGCAACACUGGGGAUGUUUGUC